AUUGAACGCUGGCGGCAGGCCUAACACAUGCAAGUCGAGCGGUAACACAGGGAGCUUGCUCCCGGGUGACGAGCGGCGGACGGGUGAGUAAUGUCUGGGAAACUGCCUGAUGGAGGGGGAUAACUACUGGAAACGGUAGCUAAUACCGCAUAACGUCGCAAGACCAAAGAGGGGGACCUUCGGGCCUCUUGCCAUCAGAUGUGCCCAGAUGGGAUUAGCUAGUAGGUGGGGUAACGGCUCACCUAGGCGACGAUCCCUAGCUGGUCUGAGAGGAUGACCAGCCACACUGGAACUGAGACACGGUCCAGACUCCUACGGGAGGCAGCAGUGGGGAAUAUUGCACAAUGGGCGCAAGCCUGAUGCAGCCAUGCCGCGUGUAUGAAGAAGGCCUUCGGGUUGUAAAGUACUUUCAGCGGGGAGGAAGGUGCUGAGGUUAAUAACCUCAGCAAUUGACGUUACCCGCAGAAGAAGCACCGGCUAACUCCGUGCCAGCAGCCGCGGUAA
Molecule: ribosomal RNA, 504 nt
Filed under: uncultured bacterium
Lineage: Bacteria
Description: partial 16S ribosomal RNA
Rfam family: Bacterial small subunit ribosomal RNA
Source: RNAcentral